This 469-nucleotide long non-coding RNA is filed under the name Mytilus galloprovincialis (Mediterranean mussel). The record is from RNAcentral. Lineage: Eukaryota; Metazoa; Mollusca; Bivalvia; Mytilida; Mytilidae.
UAACAAGGAGACAAAUCUAUGGUAAUAAGAUUUAUACAAAUGUAUAUACAUGUACAUGUAGAUGAGUAUUUAUUUACCAGGUAAUCAAUUUAUAAAUAAUAUAUACUUUAAAUCUGUUAAAUGUUUUAAAGUUUUUAAUUACUUUACAUAAAUAUUUACAUAGAUAAUCCAGGAUUAUUGGAAUACAGUAAAUUUAUAGUUUGACAAUUUUCUUACAACAUGACAUGAUGUAGUAAUAAGAUUAAGUACAACUUUACAUCUAAAUAACUGGAACAAGGAUAUUACCUUGACAUUUGUCCUUUUUUAUUUCAGAAGAUAACUGGACGGGACAUGGACUAUUUGAAAUUAGCUGGAGCAGGGGCCAUAACUCUAAGUGCUGUUUCCACAGCAACAUAUUUAUAUCUGACACAGAAUCCAAAUCCUGUUCCUUCAGCUGUAGACCUGAACAACCAAACCAUAAUAAUCAAGG